This 84-nucleotide transfer RNA is filed under the name Ipomoea nil (Japanese morning glory). It matches the Rfam family "tRNA". Rfam says of the family: Transfer RNA (tRNA) molecules are approximately 80 nucleotides in length. Their secondary structure includes four short double-helical elements and three loops (D, anti-codon, and T loops). The record is from Rfam by way of RNAcentral. Lineage: Eukaryota; Viridiplantae; Streptophyta; Magnoliopsida; Solanales; Convolvulaceae.
GUCAGGAUAGCCAAGUGGUCUAAGGUGCCAGACUCAAGUUCUGGUCCUUGUGAGAUGGCGUGGGUUCAUAUACCACUUCUGAUA